CAUAUCUCUCUUAUAGGUGCUUUCUGUAUCCAAAGACGGAGAGCUUCACCAAAAAUUUGAGAAACUUAUUUCUGAAAUCAACAAACCAGGAGCCAAUUAUAUCCUCAGUCUAGCCAACCGGCUCUUUGGAGAAACAUCAUAUGAUUUUCUUGCAUCAUUUAUAGAAUCCACUGAGAAAUUCUACCAUGCAGGUCUGGAGAAACUUAACUUCAAACAAGCUUCAGAAGAUUCGAGAAGACAUAUAAAUGCUUGGGUAGAAGAAAAAACCUCAGG
Pseudonaja textilis is the source of this 273-nucleotide non-coding RNA. The record is from RefSeq and is a predicted model, not a curated record. NCBI's taxonomy places the organism in Eukaryota, Metazoa, Chordata, Lepidosauria, Squamata, Elapidae.